GGACGUUCGGAAAGCUCAUCCCGCCUGACUAUGGGAUAAGGAUGAAGCUUGGACGUGGAGUGCGGAAGAUAUGUAAUCCGAACGGGAGAAAAUCUGGGAGUAUUCCGGAAGAGAAGAAGCCGGGAAUUCGGUUGGAUUGGAUGAUGGGAUGAAUCCGUAGAUGAUUCGGCUGAUGGUUGGGAGGAAACCGUGGACUAAGUUGGGAUGCUCACGGAGGAGAAUAUCAUGGGAGAGACGUUGGGAGGAGCUGGAUCUUACGAACGGAUUGAACGUGAAACAAGGGAGAUAAGUUGGGAUCUCGGCUGGAGCUGGGAAGUCUGUGGGAUUAAUCUGGGAGUUUGGAUUAAGCUCAAUCUAUUAGACGUUGGGAAGAUCUCGGAGUAGAUGAUGGGUUGGUUCAGAAGCAGAGGAAAUGGGCGAAGAAGAUGGGCACAGGCGCGAGGGAUUCGGAAGA
RNAcentral lists this long non-coding RNA (454 nucleotides) under Phoenix dactylifera (date palm). RNAcentral describes it as "long non-coding RNA (PDAC_LNC018768)". Lineage: Eukaryota; Viridiplantae; Streptophyta; Magnoliopsida; Arecales; Arecaceae. The record is from RNAcentral.